Molecule: small nucleolar RNA, 139 nt
Filed under: Notamacropus eugenii (tammar wallaby)
Lineage: Eukaryota; Metazoa; Chordata; Mammalia; Diprotodontia; Macropodidae
Description: Small nucleolar RNA SNORA46 (ENSMEUG00000017518.1)
Source: RNAcentral
AGCACUAUUUUUUAACCCUAUUGAUGGAAAUUUUCACCACUUUAGGUUACGCUGUAGUGCCAAAGAACCCCUUAAAACCCCAAAGAACAGCUGAUUGCGUGUUCAGCUCGUGUUCUGGUGGUGGUGUUAAGGAACAUGA